Molecule: long non-coding RNA, 5978 nt
Organism: Manis pentadactyla (Chinese pangolin)
Lineage: Eukaryota; Metazoa; Chordata; Mammalia; Pholidota; Manidae
Exons: 3
Source: RefSeq, a predicted model, not a curated record
GAUGGGAAAUUCCUGAGUGUGCCCUGCAAAAAUGCUGCUACCAAACUUUUCUCAGGGAGGGCCUGAAGAUGUUCCAGUUAUCAGUCAAAUGACAAACUGAAUUUCCAUACUCUCAACAGAGUUCUCAUUCUUAAAAAAGGCCUCCAAAUAGAGAGGUUCUUCUGAUCCUUUGUGGGAGGCAAGUUUCUACUCCAACAGACAGUCUUAUGACUUUGUUUUUCUUUGUCUCACCAGUCUUUUUGUGUGGAAGAACCCUUCCCUUUACCACUUCUAAGCAUUGACAUUUUCCUGCUUCUUUAAGACCCAGUGUGUUAGUUACCUAUUGCUGUGUAACAAAUAACCCCAAAGCUCAGCCACUGAAAACAACUAUUUACAUCACACAGUUUCUUUGGGUCAGGAAUUUGGGAGUGGCCUAGCUAUGUGGUUCUGGCUUUCAUGAGGUUGUAGACAAAAUACAGCAGGGUCAUCUGAAGGCCCAACCUGGGCAGGAGGAUUUGCUUCCCAGAUGGCUCCUUGUCAAGCUCUUGGCAGGAGGCAGAGUUCCUUGCCAUGUGGCUCUGUCCAGAGGCUCUGUCCUCACCGCACGGCAGCUGGUUUUCCAUAGAGUGAGUGAUCUAAGAGGGACAAAUACAGAAAUGUUAGUGUCUUUUAUGAUGUAGCCUUGGAAGUCACACUCUUUCAUUUCUUAUCUGUGUCCUUUUGAUGGCACGAAUCAGCCCUGUUCCGAAUGGGAGGGGGCUAUACAGGGUGCGAAAACCAGGAGGUAGGGAUCACUUGUAGCCAUGUUGGGGGCUGGUUACCACAUCCAGCUCAGGUCCUAUUCCUUCCAUUUAACCUGGUAGUAAAUUCAUACCUAAUAAUAUACUCUUCUCUGAACCUCUUAGUACUUUCUCUCUGAACUGCUACUUGGGACUAUUGGAUUCCACCUUGACUUGUUCUUUGAUUAGGUGGUUUAGACUCAAAUACUUAAGAUUGUCAAGUGGCUGGAGGGCAGAUCUUAUGAUCACCUGGGAUGAGGAGGCUGGGGGAUAGGCACUGAGACUUCAGCUUCUCUGGAGUGAGUCCCUAUUCCAGUGGCUAGCCUUUGUGCUGGGCUGUACCUGCCUGGAGGCAGGUGUACACUCUAGGGAUUCACACAAAGGUGGGCUAGGGACUGAAAGAGAGCUCUAGCGUGGGCCCUUAGCAAAUGUUUGUAAGAGGACUACAUAAGUGAAUGAAAAGUUUAUCCUGGCAUCUCGUAGAAUUCUGUGGGGACUUAGUGGUAUUUUGAUAUUCCUUACCAGUUUCAGAUUUCAGAGUGGCCCAUCUUGUAGGGAUAAUUUCUAUUCCUGAUGCAAAAGAAGUUUCCUCUCACCUCUGCCUGUGAGUGGAUAAAUAAGGCUGGCUGUGAGAGUUGGGUGUUAUUAAUUUGGUGUCACUCAUGCCAUAUUCUGAAAAGGUUCUCGUGUUUGAAGGUAGAAAGUUGCUCUAGUGAGGUGCGUUCCAGAUUUGAGUAGCAUAGGGUUGGAGUCAUUCCCCUCCUGGACAUGGAAUGACAGAUGACCAGGGAACAGACUUGUGUGGAAAUGCACUUCCAAAAGCCUCAGCCUCCAUCCCUCUCUUCUCCCUCUGAGGCUCAAGAGAGAUGGCCAAAGAGGGCACAUGAAGGCCUAGCUGCAUCUACCACAGCACGUAAGACUGAGUUGCUCACACCCAUUUCUCCAUAUGCAGGGCUGUUUCAUUAAUGAGUAAGACAUACAUUGGCUGUGUGUCAAGCCACCUCAGUAUUUAUUUGGCUUCAAGCUGGCCUUUCUAGAACAUGUGUGUCUCCAGGGGACUGGAACUCUUAACAGUUGUGGAACAGUUGUAACUUUGGCAGGUUUAGCUGAGCAGUUAGAGGAGUUCUCAAAGCCCAGAGUCUGCUGCUCUCCAUGGUGAGCACGCUUAAGUGUGCAGGGCAGGUGUGGGCACAAGGGAGGAGCUGCUGGCUGCUGUGCUCAAGGAGAGGAGGCUGUCACCUCCGUGGCCUAAGAAUGCCUCCUCAUUCACCUCCUGAGGUCACAUUUAUCUAUAGCAAUUCAUUCUUUUAAGCUGGUUCAGUAGCAUCAUAUUAAUAUGUAUUACUAACACCUUAUUAACAUACUAACAUCAUACUAACCUGUAACAUACUGGUUUGGAAGUCGAAGUUUUGGAGUUGAAGAGACUUAGGUAUAUAUUCUAGAUCUGCCAUUUUUUACUGUGUGCCUUAACUUUAAGCCUUUCUUUGCUCACCUGCGAAGUGGAGGUAACUGUACCCUUACAUUUAUGGCCAGUUUGUGAGGAAUAUUGGUGUGUGUUCUGGUUUCUUAUAAAUUCUGUUCAGGUUUUGGUAGCAGGGUAAUCCUGGCCUCAUUAAAUGAAUUGACUGAGUGUUUCCUCUUUUAUUUUCUGAAGAGUUUGUGUGAGAUGGGUAGUUUUUUUCUUUUCAUUUCUUAAAUGUUUGAAAGCACUCAGCAACACAAUCUGAGGUUUUCUUUGUGGUGAGGUUUUUGGUGAUAAAUUUAUUGCUGUCACUAUUGAGAACCAGGUACAUGAUUAAAUGAGAUUCCGUCAGGGAGAGCCAAGUCCCAGCAGACAGACAGCGCUGACAGACUACUGUCAUGCCUCCUGGGCAAGAUGUCCCCUGUCCUGCCAAAUACCCCCUCACCUGCUGUAUGCAGGAUUCAGUCCCACUGCAUUGCAUAUGUGUAAAGAUCCCCAUAAAAAGGAGAAAACUGAGACUCAGGGAAGUGAAGUCAAUUAACAAAACUCACACAGCUAAUAGAUUGCAGAAUAAAACCAGGACCCCACUUUAGUUAUUUUGACUCAAAUCCUAUGGUGUCUCACCGUGCCCUAGCUGGAAUGUAAUGGUUCUGUCAGUCAAUUCCAUUUUGUCCUCUGACAGUGACAUUCUCUUUCUCUCUGCUCUCCUGAUGGGCACUGGGAGCUGCGCUGGGCUCAGAGCAUUAGCUUUUUGUAGAUCCAUUCAGAAAUCAUUUGCUUUUCCUUUUGGGUCUCCAAGGUCCCAUGCAAGCUUCGUGGCAAAACAAGAAAACAAAAGGUCACAGAGUAUGAGUGCAUUUAGAAAGCCUCAGCGGGGGAAAGAAUUCACUUGAAAAAGAUGGGCAGAUCAUCAGGAGCGUGGUUCCACAGCAGACCCAGAACCCAGAGCCUAUAAUUUCCAGCAAGUUCUUCUCCACGACCGUGAUCAUGCUACUCAGGCUGGGGCAGCUGAAGCAGGACGCGCGCCUUGGACUCCGCAGGGGAGAGAGGAGAUCUGAGCAGCACACCCGUGAAGAUGGAUGAUAGCCCAGAUGUGUCUCUGCCCAGCACUACACAAGGACCCUCAAAUGCUUAGAGACCUCCCCACUGGAAGGUCCCCAGAACUGCAAGUUCAAUUGAGUCAUUAAUAUUUCCCCUUGAAUUCCUCCUCAAUGUUUUCCAUCUUUGCAAAUGGUACCAGCAUAGUCUUGCUUAAGCCACAGAUUUGGGAAUGAAUAUUGAUUUCUCCAUCUUCCAGUCAUUUCUACAUCCCAGUAAUCACUAGCCCUAGUAAUCCCCACAUCUAAACAUGUUUAUAAUUUUCCCGACCUCCUCCAGUCUUCACUGAAACUGUGGAGGUCAGGUCGCUGCCAUUUUAUGCCUGGAUUAUUCUUGUUCCCUUCAAUCCAUUCUUCACUUCGUAGCUAUCCUGGAAUUCCCUAACGAAAUAUCUAGUUAUUGUUUUUCUUGGCUUAGCACUGUUCAAUGAUUCCACAUUGAUCUUUGUAUAAAGUCCAAACUCUUAUGAAAGUCUUGCAAGGCCUGUUGUGAUCUGUCUCAUCCUCCCUGCAGCCCUCGUCUCUUACUCUCUCGCAUAAUCUUCGCUCCUGCCCUCUGAACCCUCUCUGCCCUCUGUGCCGCACUCUCAGCAUUUGCUCUUUUGUGUCUCACUCUUUCUCCUGCUUCACACUUCCUUAUUCUCUAAAUCUCACCUUGGACAUCCCUUCCCUUGGCUCUGAAAGAUUAAAUUGGUUGUCCCUCAUAUUGAGUCAUAUGUUCUUCCUUUCUGUCUUCCCUUCCUUAUUACUAUUAAUAUUUUCCUGAUUUAUUCAUUUUUUAAAUCACUAGACGAUAAGCUACUUGAAAACAAGGACUGUGUCUUACUCAUGAUUGCAUUUACAAUGUUUGAUAUCCUUAAGUCCUUGACUUACGGAUAUUUGAUUAAAUAGGAGAAACUCAGGAGAUAAAUAAUGUGGGUUAUUGAAGAACAUUGCCAAGAACAAAUCAAGAACACUAACUUUGUGUCUGUGCAUCGGAUGAAACCUGUUCAGAAGUGAGGCAAAUGGGCUUGGACUUGUGCCCAAACGGAAAAGUGACACUUAUUCUGGGACUGAAGGAACUGAAAAUAGAUGAGGUGUGGUAUAUUUGUAGGUUCUAGAAGAAAACAGAAUUCUAAUAAGAUAAUUGACUUGAAGACAUUUAAUACAAGAAUAACCUGCAGCAGUGUGGGCAGGGUUAAGGAAAUCAACAUAGGAUUUUGUUGCACCCAGAGACUAGCAACAACAGGAAGCUGUUACCACCUCUGGGGCUGGAGGGACUAAGGGAGGAAAUAGUGUUCACAGAGAUGAUGGAAUGUGGAGGAGGAAUGCGUACCAGAGCUGUGGUGUGGAGGCAGGGUGGGGACAGGGAAGAAACACCUGAUCUUUUCUCCUCUUGCUGGUGCCCCUUUUAGCCAAACUCACUGGGAGGCCAGAGGAUGGGGAACCUGAGUGCUACAGGGUUGGUCUUGUAGGGCUCAGUAGUAUAGGAAAGGAUGGAGAAUGGAUCAGGAGCCACAAGUGAAGAUUACCAGCACACAUGGUUGUGCAAAGGGAGAACAGUAGUAAGAAAAGAGAAUACCUCCAACUGUUGGAUUUAGAAGAGAAUUUUUAAUUAUUGGAGGACAGUGGAAGUUGGUGGUGACUUGGGGAAGACUCUGGAAUGCUUUACAUCUGUGCUUGGUAUCCUGGAUAAUGUCCGGCUGGACACCUGUGAUUUAGCUCAUGGGUAGAGGGUGUAUCUGGACAUUUGUUUUUUCAGUGUUUGUGAAGAUUGGGUGCCCUCGAGCAAUUUGAUUGUUGACCUGGAGCAGGGGUGGUGCUGCCAGAGAAGCAGUGUGGGAGUGGGGUGUAGGAUGAGGUGAAGGUUCAGGGCUUGGAGGAGAGAGCUUGCACUCCGUGAACUGCUGUGUGAGGCACUGAAAACAUGCUGCGUGCAUCCCACUGAGCACCCAGCCAGACAGUCUGUUAUUCAUUGUUGUCAUUGUUACUGUUAUGUGUAUGUUUGCUUCAUGGGUGUGUGUGUGUGUGUGUGUGUGUGUGUCUUUGGGAGCAUCUGGGAGUGUACUUUGGGAAUGGGCUACUCUGUUCUUUUGUUGUGUGUGACCUGGAAGAAUUUCUCUUGGAAAUGCAAUUCCUCAGAGGGUAUUUUGCAAACAGUCCAUUGGUUUAUUACCUACUGUCAGGUCAUAAUAAGAAGAAAUGGCCCUAAAUGACAGCAGGAAGAAUUUCAUUUAGACUUAAGGGAUGGCUUUUAAUAACUUGUAGUAUCAGAUUCCUUCCUGACUUUAGGGAGACAUCAUUUUUCUCUUCAUUUCUGAAUUACAUCACAUAUCCAAACAACAAGAGUUCCAUGUUUUAAGUUCCAUGGAAGUGACAUAAAAUUAUAUAUAUGUACCAAUAUUCUUUGAAAUUAUGACUUUUAGAAUGUCCAGGUUGUCUUUACUCUGGUUAUUGAUGCUUGUUUGCCUAGUUUCCUCUCACUCUUUGCCUGCAGGGUGCAGAGAGCAUAGGCAAGAGUCACAUACUCUGGGAGAGUGUCAGAAAGACUCGGCCAUCUGCUACUUGAUCUGACCUGCAGCCCCAACUCUGACUGCUUUUUCUCUCUCUCCCCAUUGCUUACUUAUCUCCAGAUACACAGGCCUCUCAGCUGUUUCUCAGACUCCUGCCUCAGCCCCUGUA